GGCUUGUGGCUCAGUGGAGAGUUCUCGCCUAGCACGUGUGAGGCCCUGGGUUUGAUCCUCAGCACCA
Molecule: transfer RNA, 67 nt
Filed under: Marmota monax (woodchuck)
Lineage: Eukaryota; Metazoa; Chordata; Mammalia; Rodentia; Sciuridae
Description: tRNA.Ala
Source: RNAcentral